CUUGGUCAUUUAGAGGAAGUAAAAGUCGUAACAAGGUUUCCGUAGGUGAACCUGCGGAAGGAUCAUUACAGAGUUCCUGCCCUCACGGGUAGAUCUCCCACCCUUGAAUACCUUACCUUUGUUACUUUGGCAGGCUGCUGUUUGGCGUUGGCUUCGGCUGACUGUGCCUGCCAGAGAACCCAAACUCGUUUGUUUAGUGAUGUCUGAGUACUAUAUAAAUAGUUAAAACUUUCAACAACGGAUCUCUUGGUUCUGGCAUCGAUGAAGAACGCAGCGAAAUGCGAUAAGUAAUGUGAAUUGCAGAAUUCAGUGAAUCAUCGAAUCUUUGAACGCACAUUGCGCCCUUUGGUAUUCCGAGGGGCAUGCCUGUUCGAGCGUCAUUACACCCCUCAAGCAUUGCUUGGCGUUGGGCUCCGCUGCUCACGCGGCGGGCCUUAAAAUCAGUGGCGGUGCCGUCGGGCCCUGAGCGCAGUAAAUAUCCUCGCUACAGGGACCCGGUGGACGCUGGCCAUCAACCCCCAACUUUCUAAGUUUGACCUCGGAUCAGGUAGGGAUACCCGCUGAACUUAAGCAUAUCAAUAAGCGGAGGAA
RNAcentral lists this small RNA (591 nucleotides) under uncultured Helotiales. RNAcentral describes it as "eukaryotic LSU rRNA". The stretch from base 227 to 380 matches the Rfam family "5.8S ribosomal RNA". The record is from RNAcentral. Lineage: Eukaryota; Fungi; Ascomycota; Leotiomycetes; Helotiales.